This 160-nucleotide non-coding RNA is filed under the name Nocardioides sp. AX2bis. Its description in RNAcentral is "SAM riboswitch aptamer (S box leader)". It matches the Rfam family "SAM riboswitch aptamer (S box leader)". From Rfam's summary of the family: The SAM riboswitch is found upstream of a number of genes which code for proteins involved in methionine or cysteine biosynthesis in Gram-positive bacteria. The SAM riboswitch acts at the level of transcription termination control. The predicted structure consists of a complex stem-loop region followed by a single stem loop terminator region. The record is from Rfam by way of RNAcentral. Lineage: Bacteria; Bacillati; Actinomycetota; Actinomycetes; Propionibacteriales; Nocardioidaceae.
AGCUCAUCAAGAGGGACUGAGGGAACGGCCCGUCGAAGUCCCGGCAACCGCCACGAGCCUCCGCCCAGCUACCCGCCCGGACCCCCGGACGGCGCGCAGUCGGACGUGGAAACGGUGCUAACUCCGUCCCGGUGCGAAAGUCGCCCGGGGAAGAUGAGGA